GCCCCAUUAAACCUAGUACAUCAUGCUGCCUCCACUUGGCCGGUAUUACUGACCCUUCCCACGCGCGCGUGCGGCACAAUCCCUCUUCAAAGCCUCCAGCCCCAUUCGGAGGCGAGCUGAGGCUUCUAGGCAAGGUCCCCGUUUGGCAUGAGAACGCGAGCUGCAGUUGAAAACAACAUAUAAAGGAAAUGAAGCAAACCGCCCAGAGCCACACGGAUCCUGGCCGCUGGUCCAUGCCGUUUCUGGACCCUGAAAACUUCUGCUUCCCAAAUCUCCUCGAACCCCUCCAAGACCUGAGUUUGCCUGAGACCUGAAAUUUCAGCCUCCUUGGAUCAGUUGACCCUAAGCACUGAAAGGAGAGGAAUUAGGGGGAGGAGAUAGAAAAAGAAGAUCCAGUGCUUGAGAACGUUCCAGCUAUAAGGAGGUGAGAAGGGGCUUGGAGGUGAAGGUUCUGAUGGUCCACCCCAAAACAGUGGAAGAAACAU
RNAcentral lists this long non-coding RNA (485 nucleotides) under Sarcophilus harrisii (Tasmanian devil). RNAcentral describes it as "lncRNA (ENSSHAG00000030552.1)". Lineage: Eukaryota; Metazoa; Chordata; Mammalia; Dasyuromorphia; Dasyuridae. The record is from RNAcentral.